AAGGAUUUAAGUUAAAUUAAACUAAUAACCUUCAAAGUUAUAAAUAGAAUUAUUCUAAGCCUUA
Molecule: transfer RNA, 64 nt
Filed under: Cucujoidea sp. 10 KM-2017
Lineage: Eukaryota; Metazoa; Arthropoda; Insecta; Coleoptera
Description: tRNA-Trp
Source: RNAcentral